AGAGUUUGAUUAUGGCUCAGGAUGAACGCUAGCGGGAGGCUUAACACAUGCAAGUCGAGCGGUAAGGCCCCUUCGGGGGUACACGAGCGGCGCACGGGUGCGUAACGCGUAUGCAACCUGCCUUAUACAGGGGGAUAGCCCAUGGAAACGUGGAUUAAUACCCCAUAAUAUCGUUGAACCGCAUGGUUUGAUGAUUAAAACUUCGGUGGUAUAAGAUGGGCAUGCGUCUGAUUAGCUUGUUGGUGAGGUAACGGCUCACCAAGGCGACGAUCAGUAGGGGUUCUGAGAGGAUUAUCCCCCACACUGGUACUGAGACACGGACCAGACUCCUACGGGAGGCAGCAGUGAGGAAUAUUGGUCAAUGGGCGCGAGCCUGAACCAGCCAUCCCGCGUGCAGGAUGACGGCCCUAUGGGUUGUAAACUGCUUUUCUACGCCAAGAAACGGCUCUACGUGUAGGGCACUGACGGUAGCGUAGGAAUAAGCAUCGGCUAACUCCGUGCCAGCAGCCGCGGUAAUACGGAGGAUGCAAGCGUUAUCCGGAUUCAUUGGGUUUAAAGGGUGCGCAGGCGGGGAAGUAAGUCAGUGGUGAAAAACUGCCGCUCAACGGUAGUCGUGCCAUUGAUACUGCUUUUCUUGAGUUUGGAUGAGGUAGGCGGAAUGUGCAGUGUAGCGGUGAAAUGCAUAGAUAUUGCACAGAACACCGAUUGCGGAGGCAGCUUACUAAUCCACGACUGACGCUGUGGCACGAAAGCGUGGGGAGCGAACAGGAUUAGAUACCCUGGUAGUC
Molecule: ribosomal RNA, 788 nt
Filed under: uncultured Mariniphaga sp.
Lineage: Bacteria; Pseudomonadati; Bacteroidota; Bacteroidia; Marinilabiliales; Prolixibacteraceae
Description: bacterial SSU rRNA
Rfam family: Bacterial small subunit ribosomal RNA
Source: RNAcentral